Molecule: ribosomal RNA, 253 nt
Filed under: uncultured bacterium
Lineage: Bacteria
Description: partial 16S ribosomal RNA
Rfam family: Bacterial small subunit ribosomal RNA
Source: RNAcentral
UACGAAGGGGGCUAGCGUUGUUCGGAUUUACUGGGCGUAAAGCGCACGUAGGCGGAUUGUUAAGUCAGGGGUGAAAUCCUGGAGCUCAACUCCAGAACUGCCUUUGAUACUGGCAAUCUAGAGUCCGGAAGAGGUGAGUGGAACUCCUAGUGUAGAGGUGGAAUUCGUAGAUAUUAGGAAGAACACCAGUGGCGAAGGCGGCGACCUGGUCCGUUACUGACGCUGAGGCGCGACAGCGUGGGGAGCAAACAGG